Molecule: non-coding RNA, 2069 nt
Organism: Girardinichthys multiradiatus
Lineage: Eukaryota; Metazoa; Chordata; Actinopteri; Cyprinodontiformes; Goodeidae
Source: the annotation of a RefSeq genome assembly
AUGACUUCUUGUUGCACAGAGGAGAGGUGGAAGAAGGUCACAGAACUGCCUGUAUCUCCAACUCUGGUGCCAAUGGUUUGGUUUAAUUCUGCGUCUGGAGAUAAAGUCACCGUGAGCUGCCUGGCUCUUGACUUCUACCCACAGAGUCUUUCUUUUGAGUGGAGUGAUGCGAGUGGAGCACAGCUGGAUUCUGUACGUUAUCCUGUAGUGGGAGCAAACAACAGAUUUACAGAAGUCAGUGUGGUUCAAGUGUCCAGAUCUGAAGCAGAUUUAAGGUCUUUUCGAUGUUCAGUGAUUCAUCCUGGCGGCACCAAGACUGUGAAUGCAAAAAGGGCCUCCUCAACCCCAAAACUGACUUUGCUCUCAGCGACAACUGGAGAGGGUCAAACACUAGUGUGCACCAUUGAGGAUUUCUCUACUGAAAAUCUGUCAGUCAAAUGGAAAAAGAAUGGCAAUGAGGUGCAUGGACACAACGAAUGGCCUCCCAAACAACUCGGAGACUUGUAUUCAGCUGUCAGCGUCCUAAAGGUGAAGAGCUCGGACUGGAACAGUGAAGCUGUUUACUCAUGUGAAGUGACUCACCUUGGAAAAACAUAUACAAAGAAGGCUUCAAAAGCUCUUUUCACAGUGAAGCUGAACCCUCCAAGUCCUAAACAAAUGUUCAGCAACAAGCAGGUAGAGUUAGAGUGUGUCAUCUCUGGACAGGACAACGCAACUGUAUCUGGGACUGAAAUCACCUGGUAUAUUAAUGAAGAUAAAUGUGUGAGCAGCAACAUUAGGGAAGCAACAAAGGUUGAAGGCCCUCAGUACAGCAAAGAGAGCUUCCUCACUUAUAAUUACUCUGACUGGAGGACAGUGAGCAAAGUGAGAUGUUCUGCUCUCGCAGGAGAUAUGGGACCAUUUAUUCAAGAUCUGACUGUCAACAAAGGAGAUGGGACAGAGCCAAAAGUGACAGUCCAUCGGCUCCAUGAGAAGGAUAUUGCCCAAGAAGCAUCAGCUGAGGUCACUCUGGUGUGUUUGGUUUCCAGUAAUGUGGUUCAGGAUUACUACAUCGCCUGGACUGAAGAUGUUGGACAAAGCAGCUCAGUAUAUUAUGAUGGUAUUACCUUUCCACCAAGAAAGACCAAAAACGGCUACUUGGUUACAAGUGUUUACACCACCACCAAGGAGAAGUGGAAUGGGGGCUAUAUCUUCUAUUGCAACGUGUGGCCCACUGGGCCUGAAAAUCACAUGAAAUCCAGAGGAGUGUCUCAAGCCAUGGAAUUCUCUACUCUGACGUUUGCAUGGAGCUGCACAGACGAUGUUGGUGAUGAAGAUGAAUUCAGCAGCCUGUGGUUCACGGCCUUGUCUCUCCUAUUCCUCUUCAUAUUCAGUCUUUCAUGCAACUUGAUGCUCAGCCUGCAGAAGAGACGAGAGGAAAAUAAUGUGGGACAAACACAGUGAUUGUUUUUUUCUGUUUUACUGAGCAAUCAGCUCUGUUUAUGUUUUUUUAUGCUUGUUUAUGCUUUUGAAAAUAUUUUUUUAAUGAAAUGGCUGUCUGUUAUCAUAAAAUGGAGAGUAGACCUCUGACAAUAAUACUUUUAUGUUUAUAAAGUGACUGUCAAAGUCUUGUUAUCCUAAAGGUGUUGUCAAUGUUGCUUUGUUAAAAGGUUGUUUAAAUACAGCAUAUUGAUCAUUUGUCAUCUUUUACUGAUCUCUGAUGUUAGUAUUGACAUCAUUUUCUAUAUACAAUUGAUCAAAUCUGAACCUUUUUUUUCAGUAUAGAGAUGACAAAGUACAGCAAAAAUCGCUAUUAUUGUAUCUUAUGCAGUUUUUCAUUUCUACAUGUGCUAAAAUCAUUAAACAUGUAAAAUACAAAUGAGAUUGAGGUUUUUGUUAUCAGAUCAGAGAAGACAUCAGUUUGUUCAGAAACCAACUCUUGAAGCCACCAUGGCGUGACCUGCUGUUAUCGGUUGAGUUUCGCAGGUUUCCAGUUUCUUUUCAGAAAGCCACUUCCUCUUUCUCUGUAUUCCUCUGAGUAAACACCUGCAACUGUGAAACUUUACACAAACCUCCAGAAAUAUAAAUAA